CCUACGGGAGGCAGCAGUGAGGAAUAUUGGUCAAUGGGCGCGAGCCUGAACCAGCCAAGUAGCGUGAAGGAUGACUGCCCUACGGGUUGUAAACUUCUUUUAUAAAGGAAUAAAGUGAGGCACGUGUGCCUUUUUGUAUGUACUUUAUGAAUAAGGAUCGGCUAACUCCGGGCCAGCAGCCGCGGUAAUACGGAGGAUCCGAGCGUUAUCCGGGUUUAUUGGGUUUAAAGGGAGCGUAGAUGGGUUGUUAAGUCCGUUGUGAAAGUUUGCGGCUCAACCGUGAAAUUGCAAUUGAUACUGGCAGCCUUGAGUGCAGUUGAGGUAGGCGGAAUUCGUGGUGUAGCGGUGAAAUGCUUAGAUAUCACGAAGAACUCCGAUUGCGAAGGCAGCUUACUAAACUGCCACUGACAUUGAUGCUCGAAAGUGUGGGUAUCAAACAGGAUUAGAUACCCGAGUAGUC
RNAcentral lists this ribosomal RNA (460 nucleotides) under uncultured bacterium. RNAcentral's name for it is "partial 16S ribosomal RNA". It matches the Rfam family "Bacterial small subunit ribosomal RNA", at positions 338 to 795 of the family's 1533-position model. The record is from RNAcentral.